This 465-nucleotide ribosomal RNA is filed under the name uncultured bacterium. Its description in RNAcentral is "partial 16S ribosomal RNA". It matches the Rfam family "Bacterial small subunit ribosomal RNA", at positions 36 to 507 of the family's 1533-position model. The record is from RNAcentral.
UCCUCCCUCUGUCGGCGUGCUUAACACAUGCAAGUCGAACGGAAAGGCCCUGCUUGCAGGGUACUCGAGUGGCGAACGGGUGAGUAACACGUGGGUGAUCUGCCCUGCACUUCGGGAUAAGCCUGGGAAACUGGGUCUAAUACCGGAUAGGAGCCAUUUUUAGUGUGAUGGUUGGAAAGUUUUUUCGGUGUAGGAUGAGCUCGCGGCCUAUCAGCUUGUUGGUGGGGUAAUGGCCUACCAAGGCGGCGACGGGUAGCCGGCCUGAGAGGGUGGACGGCCACAUUGGGACUGAGAGACGGCCCAGACUCCUACGGGAGGCAGCAGUGGGGAAUAUUGCACAAGGGGCGCAAGCCUGAUGCAGCGACGCCGCGGGGGGGAGGACGGCCUUCGGGUUGUAAACUCCUUUCGCUAGGGACGAAGCUUUUUGUGACGGUACCUAGAUAAGAAGCACCGGCUAACUACGUG